CUCCGCUUGGUGUAGUUGGUUUAUCACGUUUGACUGUAAAGUUUCGCUGCUUCCCUCACCGGAAGCGUGAUGUGCAUGCCAUCAAAAGGUCCCUAGUUCGAUUCUGGGAGCGGAGA
RNAcentral lists this transfer RNA (116 nucleotides) under Macrophomina phaseolina MS6. Its description in RNAcentral is "tRNA-Tyr". The record is from RNAcentral. Lineage: Eukaryota; Fungi; Ascomycota; Dothideomycetes; Botryosphaeriales; Botryosphaeriaceae.